UCGUUCCAGGUAAGUGAGGGCAGGAGGAGGUUAAAGGUCAUGUUGGGCAGAGAACUGCUAAGCCCACUUUAAAUCUGUGUCUGUAUCUGUGUCUACGAUGUGUGUAUCUGUAUCUGUGUCUACGCUAGUGUGUAUCGAUGAUAUUUGUCGUGACGUGUGUUUGUCAAACUUGCUAGUUUUAAUCUCGUGCACGGUACGUCAAAAUUUACGUAGUAGCUUUCUUUUUCUAUCAGAAGAGGUCGCGGCGGUAGCGCCAGAGGAGAGCAAUCGAGAGAAAAUAUGUGAGACGUACAUAGAGAUUCACGGUUCGAACCAACCAGCACCCACCAUCGCCGGAAUAAACCAGCUCUCUAUCCCGCGCCGGAGUGAUUCCAGCAGUGCCAAAAACAAAGCGAAGAGGGGAAAGAUGGGAUACACACGCAAGCACGCAGAGUCGAAGGCGUUCAAGUGUCCCAAGUGCUCAGCGACAUACAUGGGAUCCCAGGCAGAGCUGGACAUGCACUUGACCUGCCACGUGGAUGGUCUUAGUGCGUUGGAGUGUCCGCACUGCAGCAAGCAAGUCAACACCUGGUCGCACAUGUCUCGUCAUCUCGGCGCGCAUGGCUUGCGGGAAUACCUGCGCGCCUCCUCAGCCACGCCCGUGAAGCUCGUAGUGUGUCGACAGAGGCUGCGACAGGACGUUCAGGACGAAGGGAGACAUGACGAAGCACUACCAGCAACGCCACGAGGAACCGCGCUACACGUGCGAACACUGCGGAAAGCUCUGUCGCUUCUACGAGCAGCUGACGCGACACAUAGAGGCGAAACACCUCAAGAAGAUCAUCAGGUGCGAGUACUGCCCAUUCAAAACGAAAGUAUCAAAGGCAUUGACUGUACACAUGAGAGUUCACAUGGGUAGAGGCAUCACCUGCGAUGUUUGUGGGAAGCAGUUUCCCACGAGAUCUCAGCUAACCUCGCACAUGGUCCGCCACCAGGAGGGAGUCGGCAGCAUCUGCGACCAGUGCGCUCAAACGUUCAAGUCGAAAGGUUCGUUAGAGGCGCACGUUCGACGUAAACACCAGCCCGUAUCGAAGGAGAUGUGUCCUGAGUGUUCAUUCAUGGGUGACCCAGACUACGUUCAAAAGCACAUUGAGCGAGUACAUCGCAAGCAAUUCAGGUGCGGCGUGUGCGACUACGCUACGAACAGCGACGUUGCGUUGGAGCGCCACCUGGCGAUGCACGACGACAGCCGACCGAUGAAGUGCAGUCAGUGCGAGUAUCGCGCACGCGACGACAAGACGCUGCUGGACCACGUGCGGAACCGCCACACCGCGGAGGAACUGACGCGCGUGCACGCGUGCGGGGUGUGCGGCAAACGCUUCAAGACGCGCACGAUGCUCAAGUCGCAUAUGCCGUCACACACGAACGCCAAGACCUACUGCUGCAACUUCUGCAACUACGCCUGCAAGUACCGCCAGACGCUCUACUACCACCUGCGCGUCAAACACGACGUGACAUCCCUCGCCACUGGGGGGCGUUCCGUCGCCGCGAAACAAGAGACGCUCGAGAUCUCGGGCGGGAUCGAGAUCGGCGGGGACUCGGCCGGGGAGCACACGGUCAUACUGCAGCUCGCCGGCGAGGCGGCAGCCGCGGCAGCACGCGGGGAGGCGGUCGUCAUCGAUACGAGCGGUCUGCCGGACGACGUUACCAUGGAGACGAUCAACGUUGACGGGCGCGGCGAGCGGAUGGGACCCGUCGGACAGACGAUCGUGAUCAGCGGCGGCCAGGUGGUGGCGCCGGUGGAGCAGCAGCUAGCGGCGGGCGACUCGAAGGACAUCGGCCAACAGCAGCAGCAGGAGACUUACGUCCUGCGUCUGUCCGAAGGCUCGCAGGACACGUACGUGCUGAGCAAGGAGAGCCUCGCACGGCUCCAGCAGGGCGACGUCCCCAGCACGAUCAUCCUGCAGCAGCGGGGCGCCGGCGGCGGCGACGGAGAGUCGACAUACAUCGUGCAGACGGAGGCGGAUCAGCAGGCGGCGGAGACGACGACGACGACGCACGCCGCCGAGAUACUGCAGCAGCUGAUGUCGAUCGCUCACACGGGCGACACGCAGGAGGUCGCCGAGGAGGCGGUCGCCCCGGCAACGUGAAAUACUGCAGCAGCUGAUGUCGAUCGCUCACACGGGCGACACGCAGGAGGUCGCCGAGGAGGCGGUCGCCCCGGCAACGUGAAAUACUGCAGCAGCUGAUGUCGAUCGCUCACACGGGCGACACGCAGGAGGUCGCCGAGGAGGCGGUCGCCCCGGCAACGUGAAAUACUGCAGCAGCUGAUGUCGAUCGCUCACACGGGCGACACGCAGGAGGUCGCUGAGGAGGCGGUCGCCCCGGCAACGUGAGGAGGCGGUCGCCCCGGCAACGUGAGGAGGCGGUCGCCCCGGCGACGUGAGGAGGCGGUCGCCCCGGCGACGUGAGGAGGCGGUUGCCCCGGCGACGUGAGGAGGCGGUCGCCCUGGCGAUGUGAGGAGGCAGCGCGGGUACGAUGCAGUCGCCUUGACGACGAGAUGAGGCUGUGCAAGAAGGCAGUUGCCCUGGCAACGUGAGGAGGCAGCGCUGGGAUGAUGCAGCUGCCUUGACAAUGAGAGGGGGCUGUGCGAAUGGAAAUGAUGUGGUCGCCACGGCAACGUCAUGAAGCAGCACAAAAGGGAUGCAAUUGCCUCGGAAACGUAUUUAAGUAGUACAAGACCGGUCUCUGAUUUUGCUGUUUCUGAAACGAAAGAUUCAUGGAAGUAGAAUCGUACCUCUCUCUCUGUAAAUCAUGCCAGGAUGGAGUUACUGGACGGUUCGGUGUGUACACGAUGCGUCCGAUUAUUCAAUCUAAGGUUGCAUGCAUGCGCUUGUGCUUGUUUGCUUUUAACGUCAUACGACGCUCGCUGAUGAUUGUGCUAUUUGGUAGAUUUGGCACAGCAUACGCUACGUGGCCACGCGAUAUCUGCCUGUGUGUCAUGAUGUCGAAUUAAAUCAUACUUAUACGGGUUUACCACAGGUAUUCUAGCAGGGCCAUAUUAGGUCAAGGACAUUCUGGUCUUGAGACCAGAGCCAGGACGGGCCAGCAGUUUUAUCUGCUCAUGAGAGGUCUGUCUAUAUAUGCUAACCUCCUAGACUACCUCUAACCCAUUAGUUACACACGCUACGCUAACUCUAAAGCUAUCUUGAAUACAGGGCCGUAGACUGAGCAAAUUUCUAGGGAGGGGGGCAAAAUUUCAUGACUCAACUGUGUAAUGAUGAGCGACGGGCGUAGCUCU
Priapulus caudatus is the source of this 3281-nucleotide RNA transcript. It is a transcript of the gene named zinc finger protein 90-like, with no coding region annotated. The transcript has 11 exons. NCBI's taxonomy places the organism in Eukaryota, Metazoa, Priapulida, Priapulimorpha, Priapulimorphida, Priapulidae. The record is from RefSeq and is a predicted model, not a curated record.